AACGAACGCUGGCGGCAGGCUUAACACAUGCAAGUCGAGCGCCCCGCAAGGGGAGCGGCAGACGGGUGAGUAACGCGUGGGAAUCUACCUUUUGCUACGGAAUAACGCAGGGAAACUUGUGCUAAUACCGUAUGUGUCCUUCGGGAGAAAGAUUUAUCGGCAAGAGAUGAGCCCGCGUUGGACUAGCUAGUUGGUGGGGUAAAGGCCUACCAAGGCGACGAUCCAUAGCUGGUCUGAGAGGAAGAUCAGCCACAUUGGGACUGAGACACGGCCCAAACUCCUACGGGAGGCAGCAGUGGGGAAUAUUGGACAAUGGGCGCAAGCCUGAUCCAGCCAUGCCGCGUGAGUGAUGAAGGCCCUAGGGUUGUAAAGCUCUUUCACCGGAGAAGAUAAUGACGGUAUCCGGAGAAGAAGCCCCGGCUAACUUCGUGCCAGCAGCCGCG
Molecule: ribosomal RNA, 443 nt
Filed under: uncultured Hyphomicrobiales bacterium
Lineage: Bacteria; Pseudomonadati; Pseudomonadota; Alphaproteobacteria; Hyphomicrobiales
Description: bacterial SSU rRNA
Rfam family: Bacterial small subunit ribosomal RNA
Source: RNAcentral